GUAUAAGCAAUCUAUACCGUGAAACUGCGAAUGGCUCAUUAAAUCAGUUAUCGUUUAUUUGAUAGUACCUUACUACUUGGAUAACCGUGGUAAUUCUAGAGCUAAUACAUGCUAAAAACCCCGACUUCGGAAGGGGUGUAUUUAUUAGAUAAAAAACCAAUGCCCUCCGGGGCUCACUGGUGAUUCAUGAUAACUUAACGAAUCGCAUGGCCUUGUGCCGGCGAUGGUUCAUUCAAAUUUCUGCCCUAUCAACUUUCGAUUGUAAGGUAUUGGCUUACAAUGGUUUCAACGGGUAACGGGGAAUUAGGGUUCUAUUCCGGAGAGGGAGCCUGAGAAACGGCUACCACAUCCAAGGAAGGCAGCAGGCGCGCAAAUUACCCAAUCCCGACACGGGGAGGUAGUGACAAUAAAUACUGAUACAGGGCUCUUUUGGGUCUUGUAAUUGGAAUGAGUACAAUUUAAAUCCCUUAACGAGGAACAAUUGGAGGGCAAGUCUGGUGCCAGCAGCCGCGGUAAUUCCAGCUCCAAUAGCGUAUAUUAAAGUUGUUGCAGUUAAAAAGCUCGUAGUUGAACCUUGGGCCUGGUUGGUCGGUCCGCCUCACCGCGUGCACUGAUCCGACCGGGCCUUUCCUUCUGGGGAGCCGCAUGCCCUUCACUGGGUGUGUCGGGGAACCAGGACUUUUACUUUGAAAAAAUUAGAGUGUUCAAAGCAGGCCUAUGCUCGAAUACAUUAGCAUGGAAAUAAUAGAAUAGGACGUGUGGUUCUAUUUUGUUGGUUUCUAGGACCGCCGUAAUGAUUAAUAGGGAUAGUCGGGGGCAUCAGUAUUCAAUUGUCAGAGGUGAAUUCUUGGAUUUAUUGAAGACUACUACUGCGAAGCAUUUGCCAAGGAUGUUUUCAUUAAUCAGUGACGAAAGUUAGGGAUCGAGACGAUCAGAUA
RNAcentral lists this ribosomal RNA (938 nucleotides) under Ascocoryne cylichnium. Its description in RNAcentral is "SSU rRNA". It matches the Rfam family "Eukaryotic small subunit ribosomal RNA", at positions 63 to 1014 of the family's 1831-position model. Lineage: Eukaryota; Fungi; Ascomycota; Leotiomycetes; Helotiales; Gelatinodiscaceae. The record is from RNAcentral.